Long non-coding RNA from Triticum dicoccoides, 822 nucleotides. RefSeq lists it as uncharacterized. The record is from RefSeq and is a predicted model, not a curated record. NCBI's taxonomy places the organism in Eukaryota, Viridiplantae, Streptophyta, Magnoliopsida, Poales, Poaceae. The transcript is spliced from 4 exons.
UAUCCCAAAAAGUACGUUUAGUGAAUUGGAGGAGCGGACGAAAACUCUGCCGUUCGCGGCCGCAUUGGUUCAGCUGCUAGGGAAAAAACAAUACGCAACAAAUCAUCUUCCUAAUCUUCGGCGCACAAAUCGCUCCCCAACCCGAGGCCCGCCCGCCCGCGGCGGCGACUUCGAGUAGUCGCCCAUCGUGCAGACGCCGUCGUCGACACUUCCCCCGCCGGCUCAACGCUCCAGGUGCUCGGCCGCGCCCUGAACACAGGAUCAUCGACUCCUCUCCCACCCUCAUCGCAACUGUAGCCGACGCUGACGGCGCUCAUUAUAUCACCUGGGAGGACCUUGAAGUGCCGCACGGCGGUGUAGGCGUGCAGCUACUCUCCGACCCCGUGCGGCGACCGUCCAUAACUUGCCGCAGCGCUGGGAGCGGAUGAGGUCACACCGCGCGCAGGAUUGGGGCGGUGGUCGGACUUGGAUCUGGCGAGAUUGAUGUGGUUGUGUCCUGUGCCUCCCGGACGUCCGGAUACUUUCCCAUCCCUCCUGUGAAGAUGCCAGUGUAUGGAUUGUCAGACUUGUUCCAAAUCUGCACCUUUAAUGUCUCACUCUGAGCGAAUCAAGGAUCAGGUGACAUAGUUUCUACUGAAGCACUGUACAAGUCAAACCGAUGCUUAUUGCUCUUGUGACUGAACUAUAUAUUGAGUUAAUCCUUGACAAGAUACAUUUUCAGAUGUUGAUGUGAAUCAGGAUGGAAAAUUGAUAGAGCAGAGUGGUUGAACUUUUUCUCAAGAAAUCCAUCCUUUAUGAAGACAAGCUUGCUCAUAGGCGGAU